AAGCACUGCCAGUGAACCUGAUGUGUCUUGGGUGUCAUGGGCCAAGUAAAAUGCCAGAGCCUAGCAACUUGUGAUAACUAGGGCUCUUCAGCUCUCAGUUGAACUGCUCCUUUUAAAACAAGGUACAUUU
Molecule: small nucleolar RNA, 130 nt
Filed under: Ictidomys tridecemlineatus (thirteen-lined ground squirrel)
Lineage: Eukaryota; Metazoa; Chordata; Mammalia; Rodentia; Sciuridae
Source: RNAcentral